This 367-nucleotide long non-coding RNA is filed under the name Musa acuminata (dwarf banana). RNAcentral's name for it is "long non-coding RNA (MACU_LNC009367)". Lineage: Eukaryota; Viridiplantae; Streptophyta; Magnoliopsida; Zingiberales; Musaceae. The record is from RNAcentral.
CUUGCUCUGCAUCCUUUGCAACCGAAACAGAGCACAGGCAGCUCACCUUGCUGCCCUUGUUUCCAGUCGCACCACAGUCGUGGGUCCCCUUGUUGCUGCGAACGCCGGCUACCGUCACAGUCGUUGCUACUGCCCAGCCAGUGACAACGCUGCUCGCCGCCCAGCCGUGAUCCUCGCAGCCUCUCCCUUACUCUGGUAACAGAAACAAGGUAAAUCACCAAUUGCCUUUGUUCCCGCAGAGCCACCGUCGAUUCCUAUUCUCCACUGCUGCAGCCACUAGAUGCCAUCAUCACAGUCUCAACCUGACUAUUUAGCGAUCGCUUCCGUGAGUCACAACAGUUGCAGUCGUCGCCUUCCAACCCCCGAC